RNAcentral lists this ribosomal RNA (253 nucleotides) under uncultured bacterium. RNAcentral's name for it is "partial 16S ribosomal RNA". It matches the Rfam family "Bacterial small subunit ribosomal RNA", at positions 524 to 776 of the family's 1533-position model. The record is from RNAcentral.
UACGUAGGUGGCAAGCGUUGUCCGGAAUUAUUGGGCGUAAAGCGCGCGCAGGCGGUCCCUUAAGUCUGAUGUGAAAGCCCACGGCUCAACCGCGGAGGGUCAUUGGAAACUGGGGGACUUGAGUGCAGAAGAGGAAAGUGGAAUUCCAUGUGUAGCGGUGAAAUGCGUAGAGAUGUGGAGGAACACCAGUGGCGAAGGCGACUUUCUGGUCUGUAACUGACGCUGAGGCGCGAAAGCGUGGGGAGCAAACAGG